Molecule: long non-coding RNA, 2329 nt
Filed under: Capsella rubella
Lineage: Eukaryota; Viridiplantae; Streptophyta; Magnoliopsida; Brassicales; Brassicaceae
Description: long non-coding RNA (CRUB_LNC003767)
Source: RNAcentral
UUGUCAAAUAUGAUUUCAGUUACACAACACCUUCAAAUCUCACGAGUAUACAUGGUUCAAACCUUUUCGAACUUACGUCAACUUAGGAUAUCUCUACAAAUUUACGUCCAACAUUCUCGAACAUGGAAACCCUUACAAAUUUACGCCAUGAAACUGGGAAACCUUUACAAAUUUACACAUAAAAUCUGAAAAUUCUUACAAAUUUACGUCACAAAAUCUGGAAAUUUGGAAAUCCUUACAAAUUUUCUUACAAAUUUACGUCACAUAAUCUGGAAUUUGGAAAUCCUUACAAAUUUACGCCUUGAAACAGAGAAAUCUCAACAAAUUUACACCCUGAAAACUGUAAACCCUUUGAAAUUAUAUUUUACAAAUCGACUUCAAUUUCUCUAUCAAGAAAAAAUCAAACGAUGGAAUGAACCAAUGUUCAUUAAAGAAGGAUUUACUUCUCAAAUUACUAGAUUAUAGAAUAAGAAAUAGUUUAAACUACAAUGAGGAAAUAACCAAAAGAAUUCACAGAGAAAUCUCAAAACUAACAGAGAACAAAUGAAGAAUCAUAAGAUAACAUAUUUAACACAAAUCACAUGAAUGAUCCAUACAUGUUUGCUUUCAUUUCACAAGAUUCUUCACGACCUUUGAGCUCCAUAUGAUUUCCACUACUGAUCGCAACUUCUAUUUCCCACCCUCCACGCAUUCAUCACUUCUUAACCCUUCUUUUACUAUAUCAAAUUUACGCCAUGAAAUAGGGAGAUCCAUAUAUAUUUUUCUUUCUUGUGAAAAGAUUCUUCACUGCCUUUAAACUCCAGAUGAUCUCCACUGUUGAUCGUAACUUCUAUUCUCCACCCUCCACGUGUCCAUCACUUCUUAACCCUUCUUUUUCUAUAUCAAUUUACGGCAUGAAAUAAUGAGAUCCAUAUAUUUUUUUCUUUCUUUCACAAGAUUCUUCACUGCCUUUGAGCUCCAGAUGAUCUCCACUGUUGAUCGUAACUUCUAUUCUCCACCCUCCACGUGUCCAUCACCUCUUAACCCUUAUUUUUCUAUAUCAAUUUACGCCAUGAAAUAGGGAGAUCUAUAUGUUUUUUUUUCUUUCAUUCACAAGAUUCUUCACUGCCUUUGAGCUCCAUAUGAUCUCCACUGUUGAUCGUAACUUCUAUUCUCCACCCUCCACGUGUCCAUCACUUCUUAACCCUUAUUUUUCUAUAUCAAUUUACGCCAUGAAAUACGGAGAUCCAUAUACUUUUUUUUCUUUCACAAGAUUUUUCACUGCUUUUGAGCUACAGAUGAUCUCCACUGUUGAUCGUAACUUCUAUUCUCCACCCUCCACGUGUCCAUUACUUCUUAACCCUUAUUUUUCUAUAUCAAUUUACGCCAUGAAAUAGGGAGAUCCAUAUAUUUUUUCUUUCUUUCACAAGAUUCUUCACUGCCUUUGAGCUCCAUAUGAUCUCGACUAUUGAUCGUAACUUCUAUUCUCCACCCUCCACCCUCCACGUGUCCUUUACUUCUUAACCCUUAUUUUUCUAUAUCAAUUUACGCCAUGAAAUAGGGAGAUCCAUAUAUUUUUUUCUUUCUUUCACAAGAUUCUUCACUAUCUGUGAGCUCCAGAUGAUCUCCACUAUUAAUCGUAACUUCUAUUUUCCACCCUCCACGUGUCCAUCACUUCUUAACCCUUCUUUUUCUAUAUCAAUUUAUGCCAUGAAAUAAGGAGAUCCAUAUAUAUUUUUUCUUUUUUUCACAAAAUUCUUCACUGCAUUUGAGCUUUAGAUGAUCUCCACUGUUGAUCGUAACUUCUAUUCUCCACCCUCCACGUGUCCAUCACCUCUUAACCCUUAUUUUUCUAUUUCAAUUUACGCCAUGAAAUAAAGAGAUCCAUAUGUUUUUUUCUUUCUUUCACAAGAUUCUUUACUGCCUUUGAGCUUCAGAUGAUCUCCACUGUUGAUCGUAACUUCUAUUCUCCACCCUCCACGUGUCCAUCACUUCUUAACCCUUAUUUUUCUAUAUCAAUUUACGCCAUGAAAUAUGGAGAUCCAUAUACUUUUUUUCUUUCUUUCACAAGAUUCUUCACUGCUUUUGAGCUCCAGAUGAUCUCCACUGUUGAUCGUAACUUCUAUUCUCCACCCUCCACGUGUCCAUCACCUCUUAACCCUUAUUUUCAAUAUAAAUUUACGCCAUGAAAUAGGGAGAUCCAUAUAUAUAUUUUUUUCUUUCACAAGAUUUUUCACUGCCUUUGAGCUCCAUAUGAUCUCCACUAUUGAUCGUAACUUCUAUUCUCCACCCUCCACGUGACCAUUACUUCUUAACCCUUAUUUUUCUAUAUCAAUUUACGCCAUGAAAU